Molecule: long non-coding RNA, 947 nt
Organism: Alligator mississippiensis (American alligator)
Lineage: Eukaryota; Metazoa; Chordata; Crocodylia; Alligatoridae
Exons: 3
Source: RefSeq, a predicted model, not a curated record
CUCCAUUUUUGACUGCAGAAAAAUAAUAGAGCAAUUUUUCCAUUGCUGAGAACUCGGACUACAUGCUAUAAGGAGGUGCUUAGCUUUCAGGGGGCUGAAACCCCAGCUGCAGGUAGGCUGCAGUUAAUACUACCUGGCUAGGAGUCUCAGAGCCAGCUGCAACUGCUGGUUAGUAAAUGAGGAUGGAGCCACAGAAAGGGUUAAGAGCUCCAGGAGCAGAGUGUAAAGGGACAGAAGAAAGGAGGCUCUGGUGUUGAGGGAGGAGUACAGAGCAUAGGUUGCAUCUCUGAAGGAAGACUGUAAGUUUUGGUUGUGUUUGUUUUUUUUUGUUGAAUACUUGCUUGUUUUGUUUCCUGUGGGACUAAGACUGCCUCAAGUAAAAUAAACUGGCUGGAAACACUGAACCCAGAGCUGACUGGCCUUGAUAAGGAAGCUUGAGGAGAUUUCCAGAGCAGAGCCAGACUCCAAAGUACCCAAAACCUAAUCUUGCAUUACUCUAAACAACUUCAGCACAAAGCAGUGACCCAGGUUUGGCAUGACAGGCAUACAAAUAGGAGGCCUGGCCUUCAAAGGAGAAAAUCUCCAGAUCAAGAGUUGGAUUUAAGUCCCAGACGUGUAAAGUACAAAAGCACUUCCCUAAUUCAAAGGAAGCAACUGUGACCACCUGAGACGCAAAUUACCUUGAAACAAAGCCAGAGGCAGCAUCACCACAGAACCUCCCAGGUGAGAGGCUCCAUACCAGCUAUGAACUGACUGCCCAGAGGAGUUUUCCAUCUAUUGACUCCUCUGUGAAAUCCUAUGAAAUAUGAACUUUCAUUUCUACCCAGGAGAACUUUUACAAUCUUUUCUCCUAUGCCUGAAGAAGGGUGUUUGUGUCUGAAAGCUUGCAAUUAAAGAACAUUUUUUUGCAAAAAUCUUGUUGGUCUAAUUAAAAGAUACAAUAUCUA